GAGGGGAGAGAAGAGGGAGGGGGACAGAUACGUGCACAGUGCUAAAGAAAGGAAAUUUUAGGAAAAAGAGCACAGUAAGACUGACUUUGUGAGGGGAGAAAACGUUUUACUGUUUUUUCAGUUACCAAGCUGAUUUUUUAAGAUUCCCAAGUUCAUUUUUAAGAUUUGGUGGCUUUUACACUCAAAAAGGCAUGAAACUUCUCCUAACACAUUUUUUUCAGCAAAAAGCUUAAAAUACAUAACUAUCACUCCGAUUGCAGGACUCAAAGAUAACAACAACAAAAAAACUUUUUGUCUGCAGCUCAAUCCAGGUUUUAAUGCAUUUUGGUUUUCUCUGUGCUAAUAGACGUCAGAAAAGUGAUUGCAU
Pelobates cultripes (western spadefoot toad) is the source of this 367-nucleotide non-coding RNA. Lineage: Eukaryota; Metazoa; Chordata; Amphibia; Anura; Pelobatidae. The record is from the annotation of a GenBank genome assembly.